RNAcentral lists this ribosomal RNA (777 nucleotides) under uncultured Neocallimastigales. RNAcentral's name for it is "partial large subunit ribosomal RNA". It matches the Rfam family "Eukaryotic large subunit ribosomal RNA", at positions 24 to 625 of the family's 3401-position model. The record is from RNAcentral. Lineage: Eukaryota; Fungi; Neocallimastigomycota; Neocallimastigomycetes; Neocallimastigales.
UAUCUCUGUAGAGUCUGCAUAUCAAUAAGCGGAGGAAAAGAAACUAACGAGGAUUCCCCUAGUAACGGCGAGUGAAGCGGGAAGAGCUCAAAUUUGAAAUCUUCAAGGUUUGACCUUGACGAAUUGUAGUUUAAAGAAGUGUUUUCGGUUAGAGGAGUAGUAAAAGUUCUUUGGAAUAGGACAUCAUAGAGGGUGAGAAUCCCGUAUUUGACUAUUCUUUCUAGCUUUGUGAUACACUUUCAAAGAGUCGGAUUGUUUGGGAAUGCAGUCCAAAAUGGGUGGUAAAUUUCAUCUAAAGCUAAAUAUUGGCGAGAGACCGAUAGCGAACAAGUACCGUGAGGGAAAGAUGAAAAGAACUUUGAAAAGAGAGUUAAACAGUACGUGAAAUUGUCAAAAGGGAAGCGUUUGACACCAGUGUUGUUUUUUCUCGAAAAUCAAUUAAAAAUUGAUUCAUGCCAGGUUGUAUUGACCUUAUCAGCUUGCAAUUUGGUUUCUGGGUCUCUUUUUGAUGCACUUUUCGGUUAACAAGUCAACAUCAAUUUCCUUUGCUGUAAAAAGGUAAGAGGAAGGUGGCUUCAAUUUCGGUUGAAGUGUUUAUAGCCUUUUAUCUCUGCAGUCGGGGAGAUUGAGGUCUGCAGCGUAGAUCCUUCGGGGCUAGAUACAUUUAUGCUAAGUUAUAGCUUUUCAUAGACAACUUGUUGACUAUGUUUAGUCAUGUAGCUUACUCGUAAGUGCUAUCUUACCUACGCUUAGGAUGUUGAAGACUCUACAGAGAUA